UAGAAUCUAGUGUAGUACAGGUAGCACGAAGAUUUUUGAAUUCUUAAGGGCAGGUUCGAUUCCUGUAGUUCUAG
Molecule: transfer RNA, 74 nt
Filed under: Rhogeessa aenea (Yucatan yellow bat)
Lineage: Eukaryota; Metazoa; Chordata; Mammalia; Chiroptera; Vespertilionidae
Description: tRNA-Gln
Rfam family: tRNA
About the family: Transfer RNA (tRNA) molecules are approximately 80 nucleotides in length. Their secondary structure includes four short double-helical elements and three loops (D, anti-codon, and T loops). Further hydrogen bonds mediate the characteristic L-shaped molecular structure. tRNAs have two regions of fundamental functional importance: the anti-codon, which is responsible for specific mRNA codon recognition, and the 3' end, to which the tRNAs corresponding amino acid is attached (by aminoacyl-tRNA synthetases). tRNAs cope with the degeneracy of the genetic code in two manners: having more than one tRNA (with a specific anti-codon) for a particular amino acid; and 'wobble' base-pairing, i.e. permitting non-standard base-pairing at the 3rd anti-codon position.
Source: RNAcentral